CACCGGCGGCCCGAGUGGUAACCGCUUUUAUUGGGUCUAAAGGGUCUGUAGCCGGCCAGGUAAGUCCCUUGGGAAAUCUGGCAGCUCAACUGUCAGGCUGCUAGGGGAUACUGUUUGGCUUGGGACCGGGAGAGGUGAGAGGUACCUUGGGGGUAGGGGUGAAAUCUUGUGAUCCUCGGGGGACCACCAGUGGCGAAGGCGUCUCACCAGAACGGGUCCGACGGUAAGGGACGAAAGCUAGGGGCACGAACCGGAUUAGAUACCCGGGUAGUCCUAGCCGUAAACGAUGCUCGCUAGGUGUCAGUCACGGUGCGACCGUGAUUGGUGCCGUAGGGAAGCCGUGAAGCGAGCCACCUGGGAAGUAUGGCCGCAAGGCUGAAACUUAAAGGAAUUGGCGGGGGAGCACUACAACGGGUGGAGCCUGCGGUUU
This 430-nucleotide ribosomal RNA is filed under the name uncultured archaeon. RNAcentral's name for it is "bacterial SSU rRNA". It matches the Rfam family "Archaeal small subunit ribosomal RNA", at positions 474 to 903 of the family's 1478-position model. The record is from RNAcentral.